CCUACGGGUGGCUGCAGUGGGGAAUCUUGCGCAAUGGGCGAAAGCCUGACGCAGCCAUGCCGCGUGGAUGAUGAAGGUCUUAGGAUUGUAAAAUCCUUUCACCGGUGAAGAUAAUGACUGUAGCCGGAGAAGAAGCCCCGGCUAACUUCGUGCCAGCAGGCGCGGUAAUACGACGGGGGCUAGCGUUGCUCGGAUUUACUGGGCGUAAAGGGCGCGUAGGCGGACACUUAAGUCAGGGGUGAAAUCCCGGGGCUCAACCGCUGAACUGCCUUUGAUACUGGGUGUCUUGAGUGUGGGAGAGGUUUGUGGAACUCCGAGUGUAGCGGUGAAAUUCGUAGAUAUUCGGAAGAACACCAGUGGCGAAGGCGACUCACUGGCUCAUUACUGACGCUGAGGCGCGAAAGCGUGGGGAGCAAACAGGAUUAGAUACCCCUGUAGUC
This 440-nucleotide ribosomal RNA is filed under the name uncultured bacterium. Its description in RNAcentral is "partial 16S ribosomal RNA". It matches the Rfam family "Bacterial small subunit ribosomal RNA", at positions 338 to 795 of the family's 1533-position model. The record is from RNAcentral.